Molecule: ribosomal RNA, 85 nt
Filed under: Peromyscus maniculatus bairdii (prairie deer mouse)
Lineage: Eukaryota; Metazoa; Chordata; Mammalia; Rodentia; Cricetidae
Source: RNAcentral
AUCUAUGACCAGACUUCUAUGAACAUGCCAGGUCUCAUUUGAUCCUGGAAGCUAAGUAGGGUUGGCUAUGCUCGGUCCAUAGAUG